Long non-coding RNA from Cotesia glomerata, 1038 nucleotides. RefSeq lists it as uncharacterized. NCBI's taxonomy places the organism in Eukaryota, Metazoa, Arthropoda, Insecta, Hymenoptera, Braconidae. The record is from RefSeq and is a predicted model, not a curated record. The transcript has 4 exons.
UUUUUUUUAUUUAUUUAUUAAUAUAUUAAUAUAAUAAAAUAUUAAUAUAUUAACUUAUUUAUUUUUGAGUUUUGCAUAGCUGUAAGUACGUAUAGUGUGAAAUAAUAUAAAAAUUGUGAUCGAAAUUAGUUAUAAUAAAUUGGAGUUCAAAAUUAAUGACAAGUGUAAAUAAAUGCUGUCUCUGUCACUCACAUGUACACGAGCAUGCGCACUCGGAUACAUUCAACGGUCAGGUAGCUUGCAGCUGCUAUGUUGUGUCCUGUUCUACCACAUAGACUUCGGACGCUCUACUUUCUCUCUCGCACCUAUCAGAUGGCUAAAACUCUAAAAGUUUUUAGCUAGGCAAUAGUGCUUUAAGUAUGAUUUUUUGCAGGCAAGUCUAUAUGACUGAUUUUGUAAUAAAAUAAUCUAAAAUUUGUUAUAACUUUCGAUAAGUUAGCAGAACGAUGGAGUCACCUAUAUUGACUUACCUGUUCACAUUGGCUUGCCAGCUUGACAGCUCAACCUACAGAGGAGAUAACACCCACACGCGGGAAAAUUAAAAAAAAAACAAAUAAAAGAAAGCAUAGAAAUCUUUAUGAAAAAGUUAACAAAUUGUAUAUAAUGUAAAUAUUCAAUCUAAAUAAUUUGUGUAUGACAUGAGCACUUAAGGCAUGCUCAUUUGGAUUUUCCAAACUUUUUUUACAAUACGGUUGACAAUAAUCCGCAUAACGACGAAAAUAAAUAUUUUUACGCAACUUAAAACUGUCACUGAAAAUUAAAGAACAAGUAACAUUAAAGUUUUUUGGUUGAAAUGUCGACAUAGAUUUGGAAAAAGUACUUUCUGCUGUACAGGGUUGUCACCAACAUCUUCAAUAUUUUUAGCAUAUAAUAAUAUUGCCGUGUAGAGAAAAAGUCAAAUGAAGAAUCCUACAAAAAACAAUGUCAAAAAAAUUUUAAGUUAUAGGCUUUAAAAGACAUAGUUGGUAAUUACAAUAAUAUUUUCAUUACCUUUGAGGAAACAAUUGUUAAUAAUUAUGAAGUAUGAAGUAAUGAAUG